GAUGAACGCUGGCGGCGUGCCUAAUACAUGCAAGUCGAGCGAACGGACGAGAAGCUUGCGUCUCUGAUGUUAGCGGCGGACGGGUGAGUAACACGUGGAUAACCUACCUAUAAGACUGGGAUAACUUCGGGAAACCGGAGCUAAUACCGGAUGAUAUUUUGAACCGCAUGGUUCAAAAGUUAAAGACGGUCUUGCUGUCACUUAUAGAUGGAUCCGCGCUGCAUUAGCUAGUUGGUAAGGUAACGGCCUACCAAGGCAACGAUGCAUAGCCGACCUGAGAGGGUGAUCAGCCACACUGGAACUGAGACACGGUCCAGACUCCUACGGGAGGCAGCAGUAGGGAAUCUUCCGCAAUGGGCGAAAGCCUGACGCAGCAACGCCGCGUGAGUGAUGAAGGUCUUCGGAUCGUAAAACUCUGUUAUUAGGGAAGAACAUAUGUGUAAGUAACUGUGCACAUCUUGACGGUACCUAAUCAGAAAGCCCCGGCUAACUACGUG
This 497-nucleotide ribosomal RNA is filed under the name uncultured bacterium. Its description in RNAcentral is "partial 16S ribosomal RNA". It matches the Rfam family "Bacterial small subunit ribosomal RNA", at positions 28 to 507 of the family's 1533-position model. The record is from RNAcentral.